GGCAGGGUAAAGCAAUGGCGGCUUACGUGGCUCAUAACCACGGUGUUGGAGGUUCGAAUCCUCCCCCUGCCC
Molecule: transfer RNA, 72 nt
Filed under: Treponema sp.
Lineage: Bacteria; Pseudomonadati; Spirochaetota; Spirochaetia; Treponematales; Treponemataceae
Description: tRNA-Met
Rfam family: tRNA
About the family: Transfer RNA (tRNA) molecules are approximately 80 nucleotides in length. Their secondary structure includes four short double-helical elements and three loops (D, anti-codon, and T loops).
Source: RNAcentral